UCUGACCGUGCCUGUCUCGAUUUGAGUGGUGAAGAAAGAUUCUUACCUGGGAGCCCUGUUUUCAGCGUCCAUGCUUGCGCUUCUGUUUGUCCACAGAAAUGAACAUUGACUACCUCUUCUCCAGCCCAUCUGCCCUGAUGGCACUGUGCCCGGGUCCUGGCAGAGCGCGGGUGCUGCAGAGGGCUGGAGGUGCAGUGCUGGGAGCAGUGGCUGGAGGGAGGGAGCAGGAAAGGAGCGGGCGCAGGGAGAAGAGAGGCAGAAAGGCACAUUUUCUUGCACUUCCCUGAGUCUCAGGCCCUUGGCCCUGUGUCAGCAGACCCUGCCGUAGUCCUCUGGGAGUCGAGUCUUGAGAUGACCUGCGCAUGAGAGUGCACUGUGCCUGGGGGACAGGGGAUGUUGGAACCUGGCUCCAGUGCCCUCCCCAGCCAUAAACUUCAAGGAGUCAACACUCAAGAUGUAUGGAUGACAACAACAAAAGCCAAGAGAAUUUGCCACAGAGCAUUAGGUAUAAGAAAAGACUUUCAUGGAGGACUUCGCCUCUGGCCAAGGAAGAAUUUCUAAGCCUUCUGUAAAAUGUCAAUCAACUGGCGCUGGUGAAGUUCAAUCCAUGACUCCAGGAUACUAAAGAAAGUGCCCGGAAGCAAAGGGGGUGUGCAAGGUCAGCUCCACAGGCAGUGCGUGGAGGGGAGUAGGAGGAGCUCAGCUUCGGAGGAGACUCAGUGGGUGGGGGGUCUUGUUACUCUCCCCAUCUCCAUCCCCAACCUUCCCCAGAAGGGUGGACUGCUCCUUCUCUGACUCAGCUGAAAUCUUUUGUAGGUUGCCUUAUGGAUAAUUUUCCCUUGUAGGUGGGAUUCAUCGAUAUAGUCCAGUUCCUCUCUGCAGAAGGUCCAUGGCUCUGGGAGGGAAGGAAUCACCUCCUCAGUAGUAGAAGAGAACCUGGUGGAUGGUGCAUGCUUAAAAUAAAUCUCUCCAUUCCUCCAGCCAGAAAUUUUUGUCUCGUCACUGCUUAGUUUAUCAUGUUGUUUUGUAGUAAUAUAUAGACAACAGAAAAUUAACAUUAGCCAUUUCAGGUGUACUGCUCAGUAGUGUUAAAAGCUUUCACACUGUGCAAUCAUCUUCACCAUCCAUUGCAUGGUUUUUCGUAUUCCCAAACCGAUACUCCACACCCAUGGACAAUGAGCUCCAUUCCUCCUUCCCCCAGCCGCAAGCAGCAGCUGUUUUGCUUUGUCUCUAUGAAUUUGCUCAUUCUUAGUGUCUUGCACAAGUGUGAUAUGUGUCUUUUGUGACUGGGUUAUUUCACUCAGAACAGUGUCUGCGAGGUUCAUCUGCGUUGCAGAUUUUUCUCCUGCUUCCACUCAGUCCCUGCUCUCAUGGCCUAACCCCAUUCUAGGUACAAUGGGACAUCUGGGCAUAAGAUGAAGCUCUUCCUGUAAGAUGUAUGGGAGGAUAUGUCAAAAUUUCCUGUCUUUGUAAGACUUAUCAGUGUUUCAUUGCAUGUUUUAACAUGUUUUAUUUAUCCAUUCAUCUUUCAAUGGCGACUUGGGUGGUUUUCACCUUUUGAGUAUUGUGGAUCAGGCUACAGAUGAACGUGGGUGUACAGAUAUUUGCUUGAGCCCUGCUAUCAGUUCUUUUGGGUAUACACUCAGAAAUAAAAUUGGUCAGAAAACUACUUUGUAAGUAUGGAUGUAGGCUGGCGUGAAGUGAAAGUAAGAGAAAAUGGUGUCACAACUAUAGGAGUUCAUAGGUCAGGUAUCACUGGAGAACUAAGUGCCACAAAUUUAUCUAAAGCAUCAGAACCUUUCUGGGGGGCUGGGAUCAGAACCUGUACCCCCAGAUGAUCCUGAUGACCAGCUAGGCCUGGAGAAUACAAACGUCCACAAUUUUCAAGCCCUUUUCCCAUUAUAAUUGAUAGAACCGUGUUAUCCCUCCUAGCCAAAAUGCUUCUGUGACAUCUUUGGACGUUUUCCAUGUAGAUGGGAAAUAAUUUCAGGAAUUUCAAGAGUGGCUCACUAUCUAAUUCUCACAGGAGGAUUUUAGGUGGCAAAUAAAAUUAUACCUACUAAAGAGCAAUUUUUUGUCCAUGAGUGAAGCAAAAGUUCUGAAACAACACCUUAGCACCUUGGUAUGUCAUUGUCCUUACCGUGAGCCUUUGUUCUUGAUUUUGUCAGUGUUCAAUAUAGAUCUAUAGUAAUACUCACAACCACUAUUGUACCAAAGAGUGUUCAUGGCACUUUUGUGGAUAUGUUGCAUUUAAUCACCCUGCCAAUUUGUGUGUGUGGGGGUAGUUACUGGGGUUGAACCUAGGGAACACAGCUACUUUUCAAUUUUGAAACCAAGUUGCUGAAGCUGGCCUCAAAUUUGCAAUGCUCCUGCCUCAGCUUUCUCAGUAGUUGAGAUUACAGGCAUGCACCUCCAUGUCUACAUCCCCAAAAUCUUUCAUGGCAUGUCCUCCACUUCCAUUUUACAAUGAAGGACACUGAGGUCUUACACAUUCUGCCUGAAGUUAUGUGGUAACCCAUAUGUCUCUCUGUCUAUAUGCAAUAAAAUUCCAGAAAUUUAGGAUCUUGAAGGAAGUCCAAUCCGAUAGUGGCUACACGCACAUCAGUCCAUGUCCCCUGGUUCCCACUGUACUGCACACAGAGCUUCAUUCUCUUGAAAUUCUUUCAUGUUUCCUCCCAGCUGGGCUAUGAGCUUCUCACUGGUAGGCUUCACCUUCUGACUCAUUCUCCUACUGCGCCUAGGCUGGGGCCAAGCAUACAAUAGAGGGUGACUGAGUGGGUGGGACAGGCUACAAUGAUGAAAGAAGGAAACAUCUGCCACACAGAAACACCCAGUACAAGCUGUACCUACAAAUGCAGGGGGAAGAGUUGUUUCUAUUUGCCAUCUCUAUGGUAGGCAAAGGUAUAUGAGAUUUAGAACUAAAAAGAUUUAGAUUUUAAUCCCGUUUCACUGCUUAUUAUUUUGAGUCUGUAGGCAAAUUAUUAGAUUCUUAGCCCCACUUUCCUUAUCUGUAAAAUGAAGAGAUUAAUAACUACUUAGAAAGAGGAAGUAAAAGCACCAGGAAUAGAGCCUGAUGUAUUAGGUACAGUAAAUAUUAGACUUCUGUAGCCACCCUCGUUGGAGAGGGAACACCGCCCUUGAGAAAGGUGUUUCUCUGGCAGGAGGGGCUGCAUUGCACUAGCAGUUGAGGCUACUAGAGGUUAGAUUUAGGGUCAAGCUUUUGGCCUAGAAAAGGUGUCUAUUUAUAUCAGCUCAAGAAGUGUUGGGAGCAGCUGGAGCUGGAAAUUGGUUGCAUAUGUGGAGCAAAGACAAGGCCAGAGUGCCUAAAGCAGUCAACUACCUCAGUCUUGAGAAAAGCAUCCUGCCUGGACAAUGUCAGUCAUUAGUUGCUAGGCAACCUUGUGUCUCGUGAUACCAACUUUGCAAGAGUAUCGGUAAACGCCCCUACUGUGUUUUCAGUCCUCUUACCCAUCAGGUAGAGAGGCCUCCACCUGAGCCCAGCUUUUGUCUCUUGUCUUUAUUUUCCAAAUCCCCUCACCAUUUUCUCCUGGGGACCACUGAGAGACCACCAGGUCCCUACAAAGAAGAGUCUAAUUGUUCACCCAUGUUGAAAGCUGCAUUAUUCCUAACAGCCAAGAGAUGAAAGGAACCCAAAUAUCCAUGGAUGGAUGGAGAAACAAAGUGUGGUAUACACAUACGAUGGAAUGCCAUGUUGCCUUGAAAAGGUUGGAAAUCUGGACACAUGCUAUAACAUGGGUGGGCCUUGGGAACGACAUGCUAAGUGAAGUAAGCCAGGCGCAUAAAGACAAAUACCACGUGACUCCACUUGUGUGAGGUACCCCAUAGAAACAGAAAGAGUGGUGGUUGCAGAGUGUUUCAAGAUCAGAAAGUUCUGGGAAUUGGUUGUACAACAAUGUGAAUAUACUUAAUGCCGCAGGAGUAUACGCUGGAAAUGUAUAGUGGCAUGUUUUAUGUUAUAUAUAUUUUACCACAAUUAAAAAUGAAAAGUAGAA
This is a long non-coding RNA of Chinchilla lanigera (long-tailed chinchilla), 4013 nucleotides long. RefSeq lists it as uncharacterized. The record is from RefSeq and is a predicted model, not a curated record. Lineage: Eukaryota; Metazoa; Chordata; Mammalia; Rodentia; Chinchillidae. The transcript is spliced from 2 exons.